UCAUUGUCAACUUUCCAGGUUAAAUUUGACAUUUUUAAGUCAUAGGAAAGACCUCAGUGAACUUGUGAUCUGUAGUGCUAAUUUUGCUUUCUGUGUCUCUAUAGGUCUCCAUCAUACUGAACUUUCAAGUUUUUGUGUUUUGGUCUUUAUAUAAACUGAUUUCUAGAUCUUUUCUUCCUUACGCACUUUUCAGGCUGUAGGGAAGAGAAGAGAAAUCAUCUUCUGUGUCCCUGUUAAUUCUGCUUAUCUCCUGGAGCAUUUGUGUAUGUGUAGGAGACAAAGCUCCCAGAAGUGAAUAUGGAUUGAUUAAAAAUAAUGCUCUCCAGAUCUGUUUUUCCACAUCUUCAUAACAAGAAUAAGACUUUCCCAACAGUCUGAGCAUGGAUGGUCAACAAAAUGAUCAGCAGAAGUAUUUGAGUGCCUCAGAGAGAAAGAGAUGGUGACAUGUACUGUAUUUCCAUUUUCAUGAUCUUCUUGCUGCUUCUAACAUAGGAGCUGAAAAUUGUCAGUGGAAGACUAUUUCUGAACUUGAUCAACCAAAUGGUUAAGAUCUUAUCCUGACAUUCAAGGAGGUGGUCCUGUUACCUGCUCAUAGGCAGCAAGAUGUGGAUGUUUCUCUUCUAGCAAGCAAAAAUCUGUCCUUCACUUCCAUAGAGCUGAAUGAACAAACAUCUGUCCACUUCCUGUUUCAGUCGUCUCACCAAACAUUUGGUUCACCAGGUGACUUCUCCUACAGAAGUACCCCCACUGUUUUAUCAAAACUCAAAAGCAGAAUAACAGAAAUCAGCAUUUGGUUUCCUGAAGAAAUGUCUUCUGUACCAGCUCUUCAUCCAGCUUUCUGCAUUCUGUUUUAAGAUGAGAAAUGCUUUGUAAUCAGAUGCAAGUGGAAGCUGGUGCUCUUCACUGAUAUCUCCUUCUUCAUUUUAGGAAGGUUAUGUACUUUGCUGUGUCAUAUUGAAUUUCCUAGCAGAUAAAGUGUCUGCAUGCAUUACUGUGUCAGACUGACUUGACAUAUAUGAGAAGUUGCCGCAGGAAACAAUUGCUCUGACGUGAGGGGGAAACUUACCAAACAACUGGGGACGUGCCAUGCAGGUGUUUUCUAGUCCAGGACCCAGGCUCGACUUUGUAGAUAGAUGUCAAAUCACAUAAAGCAGCUAAUGCACAAGAACAAAUGCAGAAUCACCUUGUCUGUAGUGUGUAAAUGCAUUAUCCCAGUCUGUGAUCAAAAUGUAUAUUUGCAUGUGUAAAUCUAUGUAAGUGCUGGAUAUGAAGAGGUUUCACCAGAAAGAGAAAUCACUCUGCUCCAUUUAAUUUUUAGCAAAGAAAAAUGAAGCUUUAAAGCCUUGAGUGUAACAGGAUAAUGAUUAGCUUUACGUUAAAUCAUUCCCUCCCUCUGGCUUUUUGUGAAUCCUUAGCAGCAAAAGGAACAAAACCAUUCUACAGUAGAAGAGAUGGGGCAGAACAUGUUUCUUUAUUAUAGAAAUUAACUUCAGGUGGGAUGAAGGAGACCAUAAGUGUAAAGUUGUGGUUUAUCCACCUGGCUUCCUUGACACAGUUUCAGCUUUUCAUACUGCUGAUGGAGUCAGCUUUCUGAUUCUUUCGUGACUGAGAACUGAGAGGACCUGUAUGUUUUCAUUAACUAGGCAGAAAUAGGCUGAAGAGAAUGGAAUGUCAGCCAUGUAAGAGGGGUAAGUCGAGGUACAGCAGAAAUACUUAGGACAGGCCUUUUUCUGGCUCUUCUUGUUCCUUCCCAAACUAAGGCACAAUCUGUUGUUCUUAUGUUUACACGAGA
Long non-coding RNA from Manacus vitellinus (golden-collared manakin), 1792 nucleotides. NCBI's taxonomy places the organism in Eukaryota, Metazoa, Chordata, Aves, Passeriformes, Pipridae. The record is from Ensembl.